This 547-nucleotide ribosomal RNA is filed under the name uncultured bacterium. RNAcentral's name for it is "partial 16S ribosomal RNA". It matches the Rfam family "Bacterial small subunit ribosomal RNA", at positions 355 to 912 of the family's 1533-position model. The record is from RNAcentral.
UGGGGAAUAUUGCACAAUGGGCGCAAGCCUGAUGCAGCAACGCCGCGUGAGGGACGACGGCCUUCGGGUUGUAAACCUCUUUUAGUAGGGAAGAAGCGAAAGUGACGGUACCUGCAGAAAAAGCACCGGCUAACUACGUGCCAGCAGCCGCGGUAAUACGUAGGGUGCGAGCGUUGUCCGGAAUUAUUGGGCGUAAAGAGCUCGUAAGCGGUCUGUCGCGUCUGCUGUGAAAACCCGAGGCUCAACCUCGGGCCUGCAGUGGGUACGGGCAGACUAGAGUGCGGUAGGGGAGAAUGGAAUUCCUGGUGUAGCGGUGGAAUGCGCAGAUAUCAGGAGGAACACCGAUGGCGAAGGCAGUUCUCUGGGCCGUAACUGACGCUGAGGAGCGAAAGCGUGGGGAGCGAACAGGAUUAGAUACCCUGGUAGUCCACGCCGUAAACGUUGGGCGCUAGAUGUGGGGACCAUUCCACGGUUUCCGUGUCGCAGCUAACGCAUUAAGCGCCCUGCCUGGGGAGUACGGCCGCAAGGCUAAAACUCAAAGGAAUUG